AAAAAGAUAAACCCUGGGUUUCCGUACAAAUGUUUAACUGUCCGUCUUAUAUGAAUUUUUUUUAUAAUUAGUAUUUUCAUUGUUAUUAGAUGAUAAAACAUGAUUAAUACUUUAUGCGUGACUUAUCUUUUUAAUUUUUUUCAUAAUUUUUUCAAAUAAGAUGGACGGUCAAACGUUGAACACGGAAAUCAGGGUUUGUCUUUUU
Non-coding RNA from Oryza barthii, 205 nucleotides. The record is from Rfam. NCBI's taxonomy places the organism in Eukaryota, Viridiplantae, Streptophyta, Magnoliopsida, Poales, Poaceae.